AACUCCUGGAGGAAGGACACCGGGUGGAAGAACUCCUGGAGGCAGAAUUCCCGGGGGGAGAAUUGGUGGCAAGAGACCUGGUGGUUUAACUAUAGGGGGUUUAACAAUGGGGGGUUUCACAACAGGAGGUUUGACAACGGGGGGUUUCACAACAGGGGGUUUGACAACGGGGGGUUUAACAACCGGGGGUUUGACAGUGGGAGGUUUGGGGGCAGGUUUGUGAUGGGGAGGGGGUUUCUCACAGCUACCGCAAUCGAGGACAGGGUUAGCAGUGGAGAAGAAGAACAUGGAAAGGAGAAGGAUAGCAGUGAGCUGAGUGGACUCCAUAGCUGGGU
This 335-nucleotide long non-coding RNA is filed under the name Daucus carota (carrot). RNAcentral describes it as "long non-coding RNA (DCAR_LNC001768)". Lineage: Eukaryota; Viridiplantae; Streptophyta; Magnoliopsida; Apiales; Apiaceae. The record is from RNAcentral.